Harmonia axyridis is the source of this 3513-nucleotide long non-coding RNA. RefSeq lists it as uncharacterized. The record is from RefSeq and is a predicted model, not a curated record. The transcript has 4 exons. NCBI's taxonomy places the organism in Eukaryota, Metazoa, Arthropoda, Insecta, Coleoptera, Coccinellidae.
AUAAAGAUUUAUCCAUAAACCUAAUAUCACAUGAUAUUAGGUCUAUAGAUUCAUCUGAACUGGCAGCAACAGUGCGAAUAAAUUCGAAUUUUUGUAGAGCUCGAAUUAAUUCGAACUGGUGCAUGUGGCGCCCUUCGUGGCGAAAUGAAAUGAAAUCAUUAGUAAAACCUUAGAAUAUACAUGUAGAUAGAAGGAACGGAAAAUAAACAUUCGAACCCGAUCCCGAAUACAAGAGAGAUGAAAGCUUAGACGCGCCAAUCACAAUUGAGCUAGCCGAAUUGAAAACGUUGCCGGCUCUAUUUUCAGUACGAAGGAAUGAACGAAGGAGAAGAUCAAAAUUUUUCCGAAAUAUUCAGAUAAAUUGUCGAUGUGGCAACGUGCAUUCGGAAAUUCUAAGCGCGUUCGGUGUUUGGUUAUUACCUCGGACCGCUCGGACUUGUCGCAACCGUUCGUUUAUUACAUCCAGAUUGAGGGGAAUACACAUCUGGAGCGUUCGGCAAAUAUAUCUGAGCAAUCGGAUGUCGAUCUUUUUCGUCGGACGUUUUCGAGCUAGCAAAGGGAUUUUAUCCACAGAGUUUACCUUUGUCUAUGGAUUAUUGGAUUUUAUCUGUCUUUGAUGUUUGUUUAUUUAUAAAAAUUAACAUUUCGUCGUAGUUUGUAUUGAAAAAUUUCAAUACCUAACUUGUUAUAAUUCUAUAAUUGGAUUUUAAAUAAAAUUAUGGGUAUGGAAUGCAGAUAACAAAUGAAUAGGCAGUGUGUAUAUUUUUGGAAUGAGAUAUCUGGUGGUGACUUUGGACAAUAUCAUUAGUAAGACUUUGGGGACAGAUAAUUUUUUCGUGUUAUUGUAUAAAGCGUUGUGCAUGUUCAGUUUAUUCAGAAGAGCGAUGGACAUUCAAGCUAGGGAUAUGAAGAAAAAGGCCAAGCUUUUAAAAAAGCUGACUAUGUUUACAAUAUAUGAAGUGGACUGGUUUCAUUACUUCUAAAUAAAUGAGACAGACUUCAGUGAAUUUUCCACCUUAUUAUAUCGAAAUUAUGUAAUGGAUGAAGCAGAAGAAAUUAACUCGUUCAAGGGUAUCGACUGGGACAUCAGUGUCCCAGAAGUAUUUAUAAAUGUCCUGUUCAGCAAUAAAUAUAUCCAGCAUGGAAUCAAUUGGGAAUAUAAAGCCAGAUCAGUGUAUUCAAGGUACUAUAUCUAUAUUUGUGUCAGCUAAUAGUUUAUUAUCAUACGAAAGUUUCAGAGAAAAAAAUACCAUAUUCAGGAAAAGGACUUGAAGUUUGUCAGUUGGACCCGAGGCUUGUUGCUUUUCUGAAUGGUGUUAUUUUCAAGAAUGGGGAGUCAGUGAAAUUAUUGGAAAUCAAAUGUCUAUUCAUUGGUCGAAUUAUUUCUGCUGAAAAUACUGAGCACCAUUGCCAAUAUUUGAGAAGAGGAAAAGCCAGCUAAUUUGAAAGAAUAAAUAAACAUUAUGCUAGAGUCUGAUUAAGUAUGGCAAUUAUGAAUUUGAAAAAUUGCGACUCUAUAGUGUUCUCAUCUGGUGAUAAGACAUCCAAAACUGAUAGUGAGCCAUUUGAUGAAGAAUUCACAAAAAAAUAAUUCUUAAAACUUCAAAUGAUUUAUUUUAAAAAUAUGCUUUACACAUGAAAGUUUAAAUUUUUCAAUUAGAAAGAUAUUUUUCCAAGCCUUAAUUAUGCUGUAAUAAGACCAUCCAGAAUAAGAAAAGUUCAGAAUCAUACAUGUCUGAAGUUAUACAUGUUAUAACUUCCAGACUAUUGAAAAAUUUGAGUCCAGUUGUUAUUAGUAAGAGAGUAAAGGAUUUGCUAUUGGAUCAUACAAUAUACAGGUUGAGUGAUUUAUUUAGGAAUCAUUUUUGUAAAUAUUAUUUGAUAUUUGUAACUACAAACAUAUUUAUGUUUUCAUUUAUGAUCUUUCAGAAUUCAGAGUUUUUUUCACAGACACGUUAUAAUGAAAUUACUUGAUAUAAUUAAUUUAAUUUUGAUGGCUAGGGGCUUUUGGGAUUUGUGUGUGUUAUUCUUUUUUCAUAAUUCUCAUCAAAAGGAUUGUUGUUUCAGUUUCUGAAUUUGUAAUAUUAUUUUGCCUUUGACAUGUCCAAUACAAUUUAAUUUGUGAAUGAUGGAUCAAUAAAACUUUAUUAUUAUUAUUACAAUAAUGACUACUCAUUUCUUCUUCUUCUUCUUCUCAAAUCACUUAUUGGUGAUUUAAUGGGUUCGCAUUUAGCAUGUACCCAGAUUGGUAGCUUACUCUGUGUUUGAUUGAUUUCUUAUUUUCUCUGACUUUCCCACCCUCAAAAAUCCAGAGAGAAUAAAGGAUAAGGUUGGGUUAUUUUCAUAUGAGGGAUCAAACAUCCAAUGUUAGUAGGUAUCUACUGUAUAAACAAGAUUCUUCUAUAUUUUUCAUUAAUCUGUUGAAUCCAUUUUAAAUUUCUAUUUUACCUAUUUUACAAAUAUUGCUUAUAUUUUAAUAUCUGAACAUUCCAAAAAUUCAUUCAAUAUUUGAACUAUAUCAAUGCUAUCUGUAAAGAUUACUUCAUAAAUAUUAAUGGGCCUUUGAAUCUCAAACUUUUCAAGUUUUGUGUAUAGUGUAUUAAUAUUGUGUACAUUCAGAUUACAUUCAAAAAAUACAUGCACCAACGAACCAACUUUACCGCAUUCACAAUUGGGUGAGGAAUUGAUUUUGAUCUUAUAUAAAUGUUCUGGUGUCAAACAAUGUCCUGAUCGUAAUCUCAUCAUAGUUGUAAUGUGUUUUCUUGUCAAAUUAUUUUUUAAUAGUUUAUAUGGCUUAUCAAUUGUACAUUUUUUAUCCCGAUUACGCAUGUGAGUGUAUAUUCUUCCCUUAUUUCUACCCCACUUUUGUAGUGUUCUGAUCCAAUUUUCCCUUAUUUUAUCCUUGAUAAUAUUGUACAUAAAUUGUGGACCUCCCUUGUAGUUUAAUAAUUCACCGUAUCUACCUUUAUUUGCAAGAUGAUCUGCUUUAUCGUUUCCUAUUAUUUCUGAAUGACUCGGUAUCCAAACUCCCUUUAUGAUCUUGUUAUCAUUACUUAAAUCUGCCCAUAUCUGCUUAACCGUUGCUGUGAUGGUAUCUAUUGAUGAGUCUAACUUCCAAUUUUUUAAAGUUAAUAAUGCACUUAAUGAAUCCGAGAAAAUGACUGCUUUGGUAAUAUUUUGAUUUUGAAUUAUUUCUAACGCUUUUCCAAUUGCUAAUAAUUCCGCUGAAUAAAUUGACCAGUAUGAAGGUAGUUUUCUGCUAUAUUCUAAAGGUAGAGACGCCACGAAGGGCGCCACAUGCGUAUAUCAAAGAACUGACAUAACAGCUGAAGCUCUGGAUGCAGUGUACCGUUCGUUUAUUUCAAAUAAAUCUUGAUUAUCUGUAAAAUCUGUGGUCACGUGACUAACAUAUCCGUCCGCUCUCGGAUGCUAUAGGCAACUGAGAUUAAGAAUGCAGCGCCAAGGUAAAGGCGGUAGAUAUCAUCAUUUGUUUCAGUUCAGUCUAGUGAUAUU